Molecule: ribosomal RNA, 253 nt
Filed under: uncultured prokaryote
Description: partial 16S ribosomal RNA
Rfam family: Bacterial small subunit ribosomal RNA
Source: RNAcentral
ACAGAGGGUGCGAGCGUUAAUCGGAAUUACUGGGCGUAAAGCGCACGUAGGUGGCUUUGUAAGUCGGAUGUGAAAUCCCCAGGCUUAACCUGGGAACUGCAUUCGAAACUGCAUUGCUAGAGUAUGGGAGAGGGCAGUGGAAUUUCAGGUGUAGCGGUGAAAUGCGUAGAUAUCUGAAGGAACAUCAGUGGCGAAAGCGACUGCCUGGACCAAUACUGACGCUCAUGUGCGAAAGCGUGGGGAGCAAACAGGA